GGCUGGUUAGCCCAGUUGGUUAGGGUGUGGUGCUGACAACACCAAGGUCCAAGGUUCAAUCCUUUUACUGGCCA
Non-coding RNA from Galeopterus variegatus (Sunda flying lemur), 74 nucleotides. The record is from the annotation of a RefSeq genome assembly. NCBI's taxonomy places the organism in Eukaryota, Metazoa, Chordata, Mammalia, Dermoptera, Cynocephalidae.